GUCUGCUCUGAACGAUGAAAGACAUGGGUAGUGAGACGUCGGAGCCUCGUCGUAUCACUAUUCUGUUUUUCGCCGUCGGGAUCGUGACCUGGAA
This is a microRNA precursor of Caenorhabditis elegans, 94 nucleotides long. The record is from Ensembl. Lineage: Eukaryota; Metazoa; Nematoda; Chromadorea; Rhabditida; Rhabditidae.